Molecule: unclassified non-coding RNA, 209 nt
Filed under: uncultured fungus
Lineage: Eukaryota; Fungi
Description: sequence contains ITS1, 5.8S rRNA gene
Rfam family: 5.8S ribosomal RNA (bases 161-209)
Source: RNAcentral
UCUCCGUUGGUGAACCAGCGGAGGGAUCAUUACUGGAAUCGCAAGACUCCCAACCCCUGUGAACGUACCGAAACGUUGCCUCGGCGGGCCUCGCGCCCGCCGGCGGCCCCUUACUCUUUGCCUCUCGCGUUGUCUCUCCGAGUAUCGCAGAAUGCAUAAAAACUUUCAACAACGGAUCUCUUGGUUCUGGCAUCGAUGAAGAACGCAGC